AACGCUGGCGGCGUGCCUAAUACAUGCAAGUCGAGCGAAUGGAUUGAGAGCUUGCUCUCAAGAAGUUAGCGGCGGACGGGUGAGUAACACGUGGGUAACCUGCCCAUAAGACUGGGAUAACUCCGGGAAACCGGGGCUAAUACCGGAUAACAUUUUGAACUGCAUGGUUCGAAAUUGAAAGGCGGCUUCGGCUGUCACUUAUGGAUGGACCCGCGUCGCAUUAGCUAGUUAGUGAGGUAACGGCUCACCAAGGCAACGAUGCGUAGCCGACCUGAGAGGGUGAUCGGCCACACUGGGACUGAGACACGGCCCAGACUCCUACGGGAGGCAGCAGUAGGGAAUCUUCCGCAAUGGACGAAAGUCUGACGGAGCAACGCCGCGUGAGUGAUGAAGGCUUUCGGGUCGUAAAACUCUGUUGUUAGGGAAGAACAAGUGCUAGUUGAAUAAGCUGGCACCUUGACGGUACCUAACCAGAAAGCCACGGCUAACUACGUGCCAGCAGCCGCGGUAAUACGUAGGUGGCAAGCGUUAUCCGGAAUUAUUGGGCGUAAAGCGCGCGCAGGUGGUUUCUUAAGUCUGAUGUGAAAGCCCACGGCUCAACCGUGGAGGGUCAUUGGAAACUGGGAGACUUGAGUGCAGAAGAGGAAAGUGGAAUUCCAUGUGUAGCGGUGAAAUGCGUAGAGAUAUGGAGGAACACCAGUGGCGAAGGCGACUUUCUGGUCUGUAACUGACACUGAAGGC
RNAcentral lists this ribosomal RNA (741 nucleotides) under uncultured Bacillus sp. RNAcentral's name for it is "bacterial SSU rRNA". It matches the Rfam family "Bacterial small subunit ribosomal RNA", at positions 32 to 752 of the family's 1533-position model. The record is from RNAcentral. Lineage: Bacteria; Bacillati; Bacillota; Bacilli; Caryophanales; Bacillaceae.